CCACCACCACAUGACACGAAGACAAUACAGGCCCCUCUUUUUAUGUAUUAUAUAACACUAUUAUCCCACCAUAUUUAACACACAAAUACAUGAACACACACACACACACACUUGCUUUUGUUCUUGUCGAUUUGGUUUUGUUUAUGCAGAUUUUAUUUUUCGAUUUUACCUAGCUAAUCGCUUAUGAAUUUUUUUUUUUUUUUAUUUUUUUGUUUUUUCGUUCGGUUUUACCUAAUCCAAAUAAAAAUAUACCAUGAUUGAUGGAGCCGUGGAGCGUGAUUUUUUAUGUUGCUUCUAGAGAGGACGAAGUGGGUUUGAGAAGGUACGCCUGGUUACUGUUCUGAUUUAACGGAAAAAGUGUCGAUUUCUAGGGCCAUCUUGGAAAUAAAAUAAAAAUAUGAAAACCUAACUCCUUUGUUUUUCUGCCAAUUUUUCUGCUUGUGGGCAAAUAAUUUAUUACCCAAUUCUUGAUCCAUUCCUUCAGCAAUAUCAGCCUUAUGUUGCUCAGACAGGUUGUUUUAUGCGAAAUUUGUAAUUUUAUUUGUAAAGGUAAUAUGUGAUUUUAUAUUUUAUGUGAAUUUUUAUCUCUUAAACUAUGCAUAUCUUACCUGUUAUGUAAUAUUUGAUUUUCUAUUGUUUGCGAGGAAGCGUUCUCACUGCAAAUUACAAUAAUAUGGAAGCAACUCAAAUAUGGGAAGAUUUUUGUUUCCUUCUAUGGCCAUAUAUACAUACAGUCAUGUCUAUACGAACAAGAAAGGAAAAUCCUUCACAGCAGUUAAUACUUGGCUUUGGGUCCAAUAGACAGAAACUCGAUCACUCAGGUUUUCCAUAUAGAUUGACCUGGAAAAGGCUUUAAAGGAUUCUACUUGGAUUCAAGAAUGGACAUUGGACUUAGGUAUGUGUCUAUAUACGGGUAUAAAAUGGACUAAGGAGAAUUUUAUGUUCCAAUCUUUGCCUUUAUGAUUUUUAAUAGUAUCCAAGUUCGUCGCACAGAAAAAUCUCAAAUUUCCUAACCAAUAAUCUGGAUUGAAUUGCAUUAUGUUUCUAAUUUACAUAACUUUGUGGUAUUAUAAAUGAAAGGUGAAUAAUAGGAAGUAUGAUACCGAAUGGCAAUUAUUCUCACACAUUGUAAAAUGUUAUCGAAAUGUUGUCACUAACAGAACACAGUGGCAGCAGGUAAUAGAACUUUAAUGGUCAGUUUUGAAUUAAAUUUUCAAUUUAGAUAACUCCGGCAAUCUAUUUUCCCCUUUGAUGAUUAUUUAUAGAUGUAUCCACAUUUAUUCUGCUGUUGUCUGUGCUUUUGACUAUGUAGAUUUUAGCCGCCUGAAAUGAAAAAAAAAAAAAAAAAAAUUGUUUUAUCUAUAUGAUUUGCUCUUUUAUCAUGGUUGUACUUCUGUCAUUUUCAUAUUUUGUUUUGGUUGGUAUCUCUUUGUUCGCUUCUCUUUCUCUUUUGGCAUGUGUAUUCCUUCAUUGUUUGUGCAUGUAUUUUAUUUGUUUUAUCUUAAUCUGAAUGUUGGAUUAGAAUACGGUAAGAAAUAAGUUGUUUCCCAGUAAAGGUUAUCACUAGAUUUAUGAAUCCCAGUAAAGGUUAUUACUAGAUUUAUGAAACUUUUAGAGUGUGUUUGAUUACCAAUAUAUUCCAUAGAAAAUGUGUUUUUUCCACCCAAAUUCUUACUCUUGUUUUGUUUGAUUGACAAAGUUUUCGAAUGAAAGUAUUUUCUUAGUUUUGGUCACUUGACCAUUUUUUCUUGAUUAUAUUUUCUU
This is a long non-coding RNA of Olea europaea var. sylvestris, 1764 nucleotides long. RefSeq lists it as uncharacterized. The record is from RefSeq and is a predicted model, not a curated record. The transcript is spliced from 3 exons. Lineage: Eukaryota; Viridiplantae; Streptophyta; Magnoliopsida; Lamiales; Oleaceae.